GUUGCUUAGGAACCCACAUAGAUUAUGAAACUAUGGAUAGAUACUACACCCUGGACCAGCCCAUCACACUGAGAAAUGCAACGGUGAGUUCUUCACCCAAUGCCGACCAACGAGCACACCCAGUGACAACUGCAGUGGCCUGAGAACACAAGACUGAGGUAUAGGGAUGACAGAGAAAAGAGGAAAUAAAGCAAAUAAAACAUGCAAAUUAUUUAUAUUAGCUAAACAAGGGAGAAAUUUGUUUAUGCAAAGCAGUUGGCAUCCACAAAG
Long non-coding RNA from Ailuropoda melanoleuca (giant panda), 270 nucleotides. RefSeq lists it as uncharacterized. The record is from RefSeq and is a predicted model, not a curated record. Lineage: Eukaryota; Metazoa; Chordata; Mammalia; Carnivora; Ursidae. The transcript is spliced from 3 exons.